Molecule: long non-coding RNA, 363 nt
Organism: Carya illinoinensis
Lineage: Eukaryota; Viridiplantae; Streptophyta; Magnoliopsida; Fagales; Juglandaceae
Exons: 2
Source: RefSeq, a predicted model, not a curated record
CACGGUCUCUCGCGUCGGAUCUCUGACCCGUGGUUUGAUCAUCCAUCCUCCUUUCCAACCUCAACCCCGCAUGCCUCCGGUCUCAGCCCGACGAAGACGAAGAUGGAGACAAAGGCAGAGAAAUACCAUCCUCCAUCUGAAUGAGAAAUAGAGGGGAAGGAGAAUAUUACUCCGAUUGGCUCAAAGAUCACAAUAAUUUCAACUUCGUGCCUUGUUUUUUAUGUAUUUGUUUAUCAUAACCAAUGUUUCAUUUGUUUGCUUAGGAAAGCCUAAUGGGUUUUUUAUUACUCUGCUUAAUUGAAGUGUUUGGUAGAGUUAAAAAUUUCCUGAAAUGUUUAAUUUUAAAUUGCUCUCACUGUCUUG